This 165-nucleotide small nuclear RNA is filed under the name Chelonoidis abingdonii (Abingdon island giant tortoise). RNAcentral describes it as "U2 spliceosomal RNA (ENSCABG00000013963.1)". It matches the Rfam family "U2 spliceosomal RNA". Rfam says of the family: U2 is a small nuclear RNA (snRNA) component of the spliceosome (involved in pre-mRNA splicing). Complementary binding between U2 snRNA (in an area lying towards the 5' end but 3' to hairpin I) and the branchpoint sequence (BPS) of the intron results the bulging out of an unpaired adenosine, on the BPS, which initiates a nucleophilic attack at the intronic 5' splice site, thus starting the first of two transesterification reactions that mediate splicing. The record is from Rfam by way of RNAcentral. Lineage: Eukaryota; Metazoa; Chordata; Testudines; Testudinidae.
UUAGCUUUUAAAAAAAAUUUUAAAUCUGUUCUUACCAGUACGUCCUCUAUGUGAGGACUAUAUAUUAAAUGCAUUUUUUGAGCAGGGAAAAGGAAUAGGAGCUUGCUGCAGCCACUCCAUGCUUCUACCUGGUAUUGCAGUAUCACCAGAAAUGGUACACAUCGC